Mycena metata is the source of this 90-nucleotide non-coding RNA. The record is from the annotation of a GenBank genome assembly. Lineage: Eukaryota; Fungi; Basidiomycota; Agaricomycetes; Agaricales; Mycenaceae.
GACCUAGUGGUGAAUGGUGCACACCCACUUUCCAUUCAGAUGCCCCAGCAUGUAAGGUGGGAGUACCUGGUUCGAUUCCGGGUCAGGUCG